UAGAUCGGGGAUAACUCAGGGAAACUGAUGCUAAUACCCGAUAUGGCGAGAGCUGAAAGAUUAAUUGCCUGAAGAUGAGCUCGCGUCCGAUUAGCUAGUUGGAGUGGUAAUGGCACCCCAAGGCGACGAUCGGUAGCUGGUCUGAGAGGAUGAUCAGCCACACUGGGACUGAGACACGGCCCAGACUCCUACGGGAGGCAGCAGUGGGGAAUUUUCCGCAAUGGGCGAAAGCCUGACGGAGCAAUACCGCGUGCGGGAGGACGGCCUUUGGGUUGUAAACCGCUUUUCUCAGGGAAGAAGAUCUGACGGUACCUGAGGAAUCAGCAUCGGCUAACUCCGUGCCAGCAGCCGCGGUAAUACGGAGGAUGCAAGCGUUAUCCGGAAUUAUUGGGCGUAAAGCGUCCGCAGGUGGUUGGUCAAGUCUGCUGUCAAAGCGUGGAGCUUAACUCCAUAAGGGCGGUGGAAACUGAUUAACUAGAGGAUGGUAGGGGUCACGGGAAUCCCCAGUGUAGCGGUGAAAUGCGUAGAUAUUGGGAAGAACACCAGCGGCGAAAGCGCGUGACUGGGCCAUUACUGACACUCAUGGACGAAAGCUAGGGGAGCGAAAGGGAUUAGAUACCCCUGUAGU
Molecule: ribosomal RNA, 628 nt
Filed under: Leptolyngbya laminosa 0414
Lineage: Bacteria; Bacillati; Cyanobacteriota; Cyanophyceae; Leptolyngbyales; Leptolyngbyaceae
Description: bacterial SSU rRNA
Rfam family: Bacterial small subunit ribosomal RNA
Source: RNAcentral